This 1354-nucleotide ribosomal RNA is filed under the name Polyporus arcularius. RNAcentral describes it as "eukaryotic LSU rRNA". The record is from RNAcentral. Lineage: Eukaryota; Fungi; Basidiomycota; Agaricomycetes; Polyporales; Polyporaceae.
AUUCACUAUCUCCUUGCUGAACCUCUGCUCGCUAGCCGAUUCAAGGCGACCGCUUCCAUCCGCUCGCUUCCUUAGAUAGGCGCAAUAUAUCUCGUGUAGAUUUCUGACAUUAUGCUCUAUUGCCACCCACCAGGCUUUAAGUCGUGUCAUCAUAGAGGAUAGCUGGCGUGCACAGCCUCGGAAGGCGAGCUACACCCCCUUUAGAACUCCAUUAAUGAUUUCUCUCCCGUUAAGGUUACCUGCGGAAGGRKCAWUAUCGAGKUCUGAAACGGGUUGUAGCUGGCCUUCCGAGGCAUGUGCACGCCCUGCUCAUCCACUCUACACCUGUGCACUUACUGUGGGUUUCAGGAGCUUCGAAGCGAGGGUUUAACCGCUCUCGCCGAGUUGUUACUGGGCCUACGUUUAUCACAAACUCUCAAAGUAUCAGAAUGUAAACGCGUCUAACGCAUCUAUAUACAACUUUCAGCAACGGAUCUCUUGGCUCUCGCAUCGAUGAAGAACGCAGCGAAAUGCGAUAAGUAAUGUGAAUUGCAGAAUUCAGUGAAUCAUCGAAUCUUUGAACGCACCUUGCGCUCCUUGGUAUUCCGAGGAGCAUGCCUGUUUGAGUGUCAUGAAAUUCUCAGUCGGCUCCUCUCAAAUGCAUUAGCUUGGUUCCUUGCGGAUCGGCUCACGGUGUGAUAAUUAUCUGCGCCGCGACCGUUGAAGCGUUUAAUGGCCAGCUUCUAAUCGUCUCUUGCGAGACAGCUUUCAUCGCAACCUAACAAGUUCUUAACGGGACUUGCUUAGGCUUGGACUUGGAGGCUUGUCGGCUCUUUAGAACUCUGACCUCAAAUCAGGUAGGACUACCYGYUSRACUUAAGCAUAUCGAACGGGGGGGGGGAAAGGACCUUUUACCAAAGUAACGGUCUAGCACUUUCACUUCACACGACUUGGCUCUGCACGAUAAAAAGCACGAUGCGAUAGUAUGUGAAUUGCAAAGUCAGUGAAUCACGACUUGGACGCAUGGUGGGUAUUCGGUAGCAGCGUUGAGUGUCAGGAGGAGAGUUCUGAAACGGGUUGUAGCUGGCCUUCCGAGGCAUGUGCACGCCCUGCUAUCCUCUACACCUGUGCACUUACGUGGGUUUCAGGAGCUUCGAAGCGGGGGUUUAACCGCUUGCAGUUGUUACUGGGCCUACUUUAUAAAACUCUAAGUAUUUCUAUAAAGAUUCCAGGGGACUUGCUGAGGCUGACUGGGAGGCUGUCGGCCCUUGCAUCGCCAGUCUACUGGAUCGCAGGGCUGGAUAUAUUGGCCUGAAGCUUAAGGGCGGUUAGCCUGGGGGACCUAUAAUCUACUGGUGAACUAUACUUUGCGGAG